This 107-nucleotide transfer RNA is filed under the name Candidatus Heimdallarchaeota archaeon. RNAcentral's name for it is "tRNA-Ala". Lineage: Archaea; Promethearchaeati; Candidatus Heimdallarchaeota. The record is from RNAcentral. RNAcentral also lists the same sequence under 1 other name.
GGGCCGGUAGAUCAGACUGGAAGAUCGCCUGCUUGGCAUGCAGGAGGCCCCGAGUUCAAUAGGCUGUUGCUUCGGCACUUCCUGGACACAUCUCGGCCGGUCCACCA